RNAcentral lists this ribosomal RNA (30 nucleotides) under Enallagma cyathigerum risi. RNAcentral's name for it is "partial 28S ribosomal RNA". Lineage: Eukaryota; Metazoa; Arthropoda; Insecta; Odonata; Coenagrionidae. The record is from RNAcentral.
UUCUCAAAACGCCGACCUCAGAGCAGGUGA